RNAcentral lists this ribosomal RNA (497 nucleotides) under uncultured bacterium. Its description in RNAcentral is "partial 16S ribosomal RNA". It matches the Rfam family "Bacterial small subunit ribosomal RNA", at positions 28 to 507 of the family's 1533-position model. The record is from RNAcentral.
GAUGAACGCUGGCGGCGUGCCUAAUACAUGCAAGUCGAGCGAACAGACGAGGAGCUUGCUCCUUUGACGUUAGCGGAGGACGGGUGUGUAACAUGUGGAAAACCUCCCUAUAUGUCUGGGAUAACUUCGGGAAACCGGCGCUAAUACGGGAUAAUAUAUUGAUCCGCAUGGUUCAUUGGUGAAAGACGGUUUUGCUGUAACUACUAGCUGGUUCCGAGCCGCAUUAGCUAGUUGGUAAGGUAACGGCUUACCAAGGCAACGAUGCGUAGCCGACGUGAGAGGGUGAUCGGCCACACUGGAACGGAGACACGGACCAGACUCCUACGGGAGGCAGCAGUAGGGUAUCUGCCGCAGUGGGCGAGAGCCUGACGGAGCAGCGCCGCGUGAGUGAUGAAGGUCUUCGGAGCGUAAAACUCUGUUAUUAGUGAAGAACAAAUGUGUAAUUAACUAUGCACGGCUUGACGGUACCUAAUCAGAAAGCCACGGCUAACUACGUG